Molecule: ribosomal RNA, 763 nt
Filed under: Paenibacillus sp. 33-7
Lineage: Bacteria; Bacillati; Bacillota; Bacilli; Caryophanales; Paenibacillaceae
Description: bacterial SSU rRNA
Rfam family: Bacterial small subunit ribosomal RNA
Source: RNAcentral
UAAUACAUGCAAGUCGAGCGGACUUGAUGAGAAGCUUGCUUCUCUGAUGGUUAGCGGCGGACGGGUGAGUAACACGUAGGCAACCUGCCCUCAAGUUUGGGACAACUACCGGAAACGGUAGCUAAUACCGAAUAAUUGUUUUCUUCGCCUGAAGGAAACUGGAAAGACGGAGCAAUCUGUCACUUGGGGAUGGGCCUGCGGCGCAUUAGCUAGUUGGUGGGGUAACGGCUCACCAAGGCGACGAUGCGUAGCCGACCUGAGAGGGUGAUCGGCCACACUGGGACUGAGACACGGCCCAGACUCCUACGGGAGGCAGCAGUAGGGAAUCUUCCGCAAUGGGCGAAAGCCUGACGGAGCAAUGCCGCGUGAGUGAUGAAGGUUUUCGGAUCGUAAAGCUCUGUUGCCAGGGAAGAACGCUUGGGAGAGUAACUGCUCUCAAGGUGACGGUACCUGAGAAGAAAGCCCCGGCUAACUACGUGCCAGCAGCCGCGGUAAUACGUAGGGGGCAAGCGUUGUCCGGAAUUAUUGGGCGUAAAGCGCGCGCAGGCGGUCAUUUAAGUCUGGUGUUUAAUCCCGGGGCUCAACCCCGGAUCGCACUGGAAACUGGGUGACUUGAGUGCAGAAGAGGAGAGUGGAAUUCCNCGUGUAGCGGUGAAAUGCGUAGAUAUGUGGAGGAACACCAGUGGCGAAGGCGACUCUCUGGGCUGUAACUGACGCUGAGGCGCGAAAGCGUGGGGAGCAAACAGGAUUACAUACCCUGGUA